AGAGUUUGAUCAUGGCUCAGGAUGAACGCUAGCGGCAGGCUUAAUACAUGCAAGUCGUGGGGCAGCACAGGUAGCAAUACUGGGUGGCGACCGGCAAACGGGUGCGGAACACGUACGCAACCUUCCUUUAAGUGGGGGAUAGCCCAGGGAAACUUGGAUUAAUACCCCUUAACAUUAUGAGAUGGCAUCAUUUUAUAAUUAAAGCUCCGGCGCUUAAAGAUGGGCGUGCGCCUGAUUAGGUAGUUGGCGGGGUAACAGCCCACCAAGCCUACGAUCAGUAACUGGUGUGAGAGCACGACCAGUCACACGGGCACUGAGACACGGGCCCGACUCCUACGGGAGGCAGCAGUAAGGAAUAUUGGUCAAUGGACGCAAGUCUGAACCAGCCAUGCCGCGUGGAGGAUGACGGCCCUCUGGGUUGUAAACUCCUUUUAUCUGGGAAGAAAUGCACUUUUUCUAAAGUGUUUGACGGUACCAGAGGAAUAAGCACCGGCUAACUCCGUGCCAGCAGCCGCGGUAAUACGGAGGGUGCAAGCGUUAUCCGGAUUCACUGGGUUUAAAGGGUGCGUAGGUGGAGUGGUAAGUCAGUGGUGAAAUCUCCAAGCUUAACUUGGAAACUGCCGUUGAUACUAUCAUUCUUGAAUAUCGUGGAGGUAAGCGGAAUAUGUCAUGUAGCGGUGAAAUGCUUAGAUAUGACAUAGAACACCGAUUGCGAAGGCAGCUUGCUACACGAUCAUUGACACUGAGGCACGAAAGCGUGGGGAUCAAACAGGAUUAGAUACCCUAGUAGUCC
This 793-nucleotide ribosomal RNA is filed under the name uncultured bacterium. Its description in RNAcentral is "bacterial SSU rRNA". It matches the Rfam family "Bacterial small subunit ribosomal RNA", at positions 8 to 796 of the family's 1533-position model. The record is from RNAcentral.